Andrographis paniculata is the source of this 330-nucleotide long non-coding RNA. RefSeq lists it as uncharacterized. The record is from RefSeq and is a predicted model, not a curated record. The transcript has 2 exons. NCBI's taxonomy places the organism in Eukaryota, Viridiplantae, Streptophyta, Magnoliopsida, Lamiales, Acanthaceae.
GUUCUCCAGCAGCAUCGCCAUUGCUGACUGACUGAUAGAGAUAGAGAUAGAGAUACAGAUAGAGAGAGACUUUAUGCUCUGAACAAAAUUGGGGUUUUAAUUUGAGGAAGGGAGAUCCAGGACUAGAGAGCUAGAUUCCAGAGCAGGAAUGAAAGGCAAGAUUCAUGGCAUAGGUGUGGGAGUCCGGGACUAUGCAGAAUGGAGGAGUGAUUUGCCUCAAUAGUGCUCCGUUCCAUGACUGUCCUUUUUUUGGCACGCAUAUGAAUAUAAAUAUACAUAUUUAUAAUAUAUAAUUAAAUUAAAAUAAAAUAAAACCUUUAUUUGGUUUUA